UACGUAGGGUGCAAGCGUUGUCCGGAAUUAUUGGGCGUAAAGAGCUCGUAGGCGGCCUGUCACGUCGACUGUGAAAACCCGAGGCUCAACCUCGGGCCUGCAGUCGAUACGGGCAGGCUAGAGUUCGGUAGGGGAGACUGGAAUUCCUGGUGUAGCGGUGAAAUGCGCAGAUAUCAGGAGGAACACCGGUGGCGAAGGCGGGUCUCUGGGCCGAAACUGACGCUCAUGCACGACAGCGUGGGGAUCAAACAGG
This 253-nucleotide ribosomal RNA is filed under the name uncultured bacterium. Its description in RNAcentral is "partial 16S ribosomal RNA". It matches the Rfam family "Bacterial small subunit ribosomal RNA", at positions 524 to 776 of the family's 1533-position model. The record is from RNAcentral.